Molecule: ribosomal RNA, 397 nt
Filed under: uncultured bacterium
Lineage: Bacteria
Description: bacterial SSU rRNA
Rfam family: Bacterial small subunit ribosomal RNA
Source: RNAcentral
GACGAACGCUGGCGGCGUGCUUAACACAUGCAAGUCGAGCGGUAAGGCCCUUUCGGGGGUACACGAGCGGCGAACGGGUGAGUAACACGUGGGUGACCUGCCCUCAGCUCUGGGAUAAGCCUGGGAAACUGGGUCUAAUACUGGAUAUGACUCCACGGUGCAUGUCGUGGGGUGGAAAGCCUUGUGCGGCUGAGGAUGGGCCCGCGGCCUAUCAGCUUGUUGGUGGGGUGANGGCCUACCAAGGCGACGACGGGUAGCCGGCCUGAGAGGGCGACCGGCCACACUGGGACUGAGAUACGGCCCAGACUCCUACGGGAGGCAGCAGUGGGGAAUCUUGCGCAAUGGGCGAAAGCCUGACGCAGCGACGCCGCGUGAGGGAUGACGGCCUCGGUGUAAC